Molecule: ribosomal RNA, 397 nt
Filed under: uncultured bacterium
Lineage: Bacteria
Description: partial 16S ribosomal RNA
Rfam family: Bacterial small subunit ribosomal RNA
Source: RNAcentral
AUACGUAGGUGACAAGCGUUAUCCGGAUUUACUGGGCGUAAAGGGCGUGUAGGCGGUCUUGCAAGUCAGAAGUGAAAUUCCUGAGCUCAACUCGGGCGCUGCUUCUGAAACUGCAGGACUUGAGUGCUGGAGGGGAUAGCGGAAUUCCCGGUGUAGCGGUGAAAUGCGUAGAGAUCAGGAGGAACACCAGUGGCGAAAGCGGGUAAAUGGACUGCAACUGACGCUGAGGCGCGAAAGUGUGGGGAGCAAACAGGAUUAGAUGCCCUGGUAGUCCACACUGUAAACGAUGAAUGCUAGGUGUAAUAGGUAUCGACCCCGUGUGUGCCGGAGUCAACACAAUAAGCAUUCCGCCUGGGGAGUACGGCCGCAAGGUUGAAACUCAAAGGAAUUGACGGGG